UGCCAGCAGCCGCGGUAAUACGGAGGGUGCAAGCGUUGUUCGGAAUUAUUGGGCGUAAAGCGGACGCAGGCGGUCGUAUAAGUCGGAUGUGAAAUCCCUGGGCUCAACCCAGGAACUGCAUUCGAAACUAUGCGGCUAGAGUCUCGGAGAGGGUGGCGGAAUUCCCGGUGUAGAGGUGAAAUUCGUAGAUAUCGGGAGGAACACCAGUGGCGAAGGCGGCCACCUGGACGAUGACUGACGCUCAGGUCCGAAAGCGUGGGGAGCAAACAGGAUUAGAUA
Molecule: ribosomal RNA, 279 nt
Filed under: uncultured bacterium
Lineage: Bacteria
Description: partial 16S ribosomal RNA
Rfam family: Bacterial small subunit ribosomal RNA
Source: RNAcentral